GUGAGUCCCCGAUACUCAAGGUUCUUUCCAGUCAGCCCUGACAGGCACCAACCACAGAAAAACAGAUUCGGCCUUUUGAAGGGAGCAGCAUCGGACACUAAAAUUCUUAAAAGUUAAAAGCACUAAAAGUCACUAAUCUCUUUCCAUGUGCCGGUCACUGAAUAGAGCUUACUGCAUACGUGACAUAAAAUCCUUGUUACUUCUUGUCUUAGUCAGGGUUUCAUUGCUGUCAAGAGACACCACAUUCAAAACAACUCUUCUAUAGGAAAUAUUUAAUCCGUGCUGGCUUACAGUUUCAGAGGUUCGGCCUACUAUCAUCAUGGCGUGGGGCAUGGCAGCACACAGGCAGACUUGGUGCUGGAGAAGGAGCUGGGAAUCCUCCAUCUUGAUCAGGAGGCAGCAGAAGAAGACUGUCUCCUGUAGGCAGCCAGGAGGAAGCUUUCCUCUGCUCCAGGAAGAGUUUGAGCCUAGGAGUAUGGAUGACCGGAAGGCAGCCAAACCACCGGAAGGCAGCCGAGCCACCGGAAGGCAGCCGAGCCACCGGAAGGCAGCCGAGCCACCGGAAGGCAGCCGAACCACCGGAAGAUAGCCGAACCACCGGAAGGCAGCCGAACCACCGGAAGAUAGCCGAACCACCGGAAGGCAGCCGAAUCACCGGAAGAUAGCCAAACCACCGGAAGGCCCACCCCAGAGUAGCCAACGACUCACAAAAACUCUCAGGAGCAACCUGUUGAUGUUUGCAGGUUUAGUCCAUUGUCAUCAUGGAGGAUGGAGGGCAGGCAGACCUAGUGCUGGAGAAGAAGCUGAGAGUUCUACAUCCUGACCCAAAGGCAGCAGGAUUGUAUGCCACACCGGGCUUAGCUUGAGCCUAGAAGACCUCAAAGCCCUCCUCCACAGUAACACACUUCCUGAAACAGGACCACACCCACCCCUCCCAAUGAUGCUACUCUGUACAUGCCAAGCAUUCCAACAUGAAAGGAGGCGCCAGCGUUACCGGGAGAUCUAUCUGAUGGUGAAACUGCCAUGGGUCCAAGGAUCACUCAGGCUUGCCCUUGGUCACCGCGGAGAUAUGAAACCUCCAAGGGAUGAUCCAAUGAACCUCCCACCCCUGAUGCAUCCAUUUCUCUCCACUGGCUUCUUGCUCAUCCUUUAAAAAUCAGUUAGCUUAGAAAUAUAAAAUUUUUAGUUUACAACUAUAACAGGAACCAAUAGUGAUUGAUAGGGGACAGUCACCCGGUCUAGAGGGUGCCAUUUGAGCUAUCUGGAUGUAGAAUUUACAUGGACUUGGUGACAUUUACUUCGUGAUUGUGGGAAGUGAUGCUAUAGAGAUAGAAAGUCAUGUUCUCAGGUAACUAAAGCAGGUUGACCAGAAGGCCCUGUAUCUGUCGAUCAGAGAGAAGAGGGGGUUCAGGAGCAAAUGCUGGAGGUUGGAGUAGCACACAGUGUUUUAGAUGUGAGCCACGAUCCCAAAGACACUGGAGGCAGGUUUGAGGAUUCACGAUCCAAGAUGGCCCUUCACAGGCAAAUCCUCUGACACAACAGAGACCUCUGUGCUUGACAAUGUUUGGUGAGUCUCAGUUGUGUUUGUAUAGAGAGCUUUUUGGGACCACUUGCUUUGCUCCUAGACACUGGGCAGGAAUCUGACCUUAUCAGGACCAAAGAAUAAACCAGGGGCAGGAAUCUGGCUUUGGGCUUGGGCUCAGGAAAUGGGCCCUGAUUAAGAAAAUUUACAUUUGAAUUAGUGCAAAGCUCAGAGCAGGCUCAGUGGAAGCAUGUGUGGCAGUCUUUUGUCUUGGUCAUCCUGACUAACCCCCAGAAAGGUGUUUACAGGAGACUUGCUUGUCCCUUGAUCCAAACUGAUCUUUAUAUUCUGCAUGUACUGAAAACAGAAUCAAAGCAGAUUGGAAAAUGAAAAGUCUGCUUUAGCCUCAGAACUGGCUGGAGUCGUGUAAUAGUUUUGUCUGUCUUUUUUUCUUUCCAGUCCUCACUCCUGCCCUGGAGAACCUGUUGACUGUCUGAGCUGGCGUGGUCAUAUGUGUGUAUCAGGGCCUGUCCCCAGUGAUGGCUGAAGCUGUUUGGCUGUCCUGCUAUAAGUGUGGUUUGCACAGAUGGGAACAUUCUGUCCACUCCAGGACACUGGGCUUCUUCAGUCCCAGUACCCCCGACAGUUGGGGCCAGACCAUCCCAAAUCUGGAUGGCUCCCUUAGACACUCACUACAAGACAUUUAACAGCAAUACUAGCCUCCACCUAGAAGACGCCCAUCUCAGCCCCUGGACCUGGAGACCAAGCAGGGUCUCCUAACAUUGCACAUUUUCUUUAGGGCUGACAUUACCACCUGCCAAUAGUUCUUCUUGACAACUGGGGACCUCAAGGUUGCUGACGCUUCAUAGUCUUGAGUUGGCGGUGACAUUUGAGGUGGCCGGUAUCCAGUAUGCACCACUUAUCUUUCAUAUGUGUAUGGUGACUGAAUGAUUCAAAAAUUCUGCUAAGGAGACAUCCUCCUAAAAGAGUUGUUUUUCGAUUCGAUGCAGAUUGUCUCUCACGGGUCACAUGUUUGAACAUCUGGUCUUCAGUUGGGAACCUUUAGAAAGUGGGGCUGGGUUGAAGGAAGUGAUUCCUGGGAGUGGGGCAGAGGGUGAGUGCCCAUGGUCCAACUCCACUUCUGUCAUGAGCUUUCUAUGCACAGAAGUGAGGUGAAAAGCUGUGUUGCAAAUACCCACUGCUGCCAAGAGUCACUCCCACCAUGGCCAAGCCUUUCUCACUGUGGACACAAGGGACUGUGUUCCUUCAGACUGUAAACCACUGUUAAGACUUUACAUCUUUAAUGGCUUUCUGUCAUGCAUUGUGUCACAGGAACGAUAAAUUAAUCUGACAACGAGGGUGACGUUAGUGUUGCAGGUCGAGGAGGUGGGAGCUAAGGCCUUGCAGGUGGAGAGGCAGGGGUGAGUAGGGUGAACCAGAGGGGCUGGGUAGGAUUCUUGGCAGGGGGCAUCCACAGGUUAUCUUCCCCUUUGUAUAUUCUCAUGUCGGGAGAUGCAUUCAGAAGUAGGGAGCAAACGUGAGAGGGAAGAUUGAGACUGAAUCAUGGAGAUACUUUUACAUUACCCUGGGUGAUAUUUAAUAAGCACAGCGGGGCUGGAGAGAUGGCUCAGCGAUUAAGACUACUAUAGCUCUUUCUUCCCAAGUUCAGUUCUCAGCACCCGCACUGGGUGCCCACAACCGCCUGUAACUCCAGUUCCAGGGGAUUUGUCGCCAUCUUCUGGAUUCCAUAAGCAUUGCACUGAUGUGCACAAACCCACGUGGGCAAUCUUCGUGUAGUUUUUAAAAAUUAAAAAUAUCAUCUUAAAACAUAUAAAAUAUGCACAACAGCCAGACGUAGUAAGGGCAAGAAUGGUGUUACCCACACAUAGCCUGGACUCAAGAUCGUCCUCACUGGGAUAAUAUCUCGUAUUUCUUAAAAAUAAAUGGCUAUAUAGAAACUUAUGUCAUAUUAAAAAUAAGACAGAUGGAUUAGGAAAAUACAUAUAGAAUUAAAUGAAAUGAAGAAGAUAACCAUCCAGUGUUACUCCCAAGUAAACCACCCUGUCUCUGUUCCCAUCUCUGUGUAUCACUCAGGCAAACUGGGGCCAGGCUGUGACUCCCAUUUGAUGGCUGAAGGAGACUGGCUCUCCCUCCUGUUCUCAUGUGACCCACCCCUUCCACAACGUGCAGUGACCCAGGAGCAUUUCCCCGUUACACACUGUUGUGUUUGCAGUAUUUUCAUCUACUCCAUAUCUCCAUGAUUCAGCCUCAGUCUUCUCUCUCAGGUUUGCUGAAUGCCUCUCAGGACAUGAGAAUACACAGAGGGGAAGAUAGCCUGUGACUCUGAGAGUCCUACCUCUCCUCUCUGGUCUAGGCUCACGCUGCCUCUUCACCCUCAAAGCCUUAGCUUUGACCUCAUCACCCUGCAGCUCUAACAUCACCCCCAUUGGCGUGGGGACCCGAUCCCACUCCAAACGUGACCCUCCUCUAUGUCUCAGAUAUACCUUAUACACGAUGUUCUGAUAGUUUUGCACAUGGAAUGAGUUUUGUACUGUGGAAUUUUGGGUCUUGAAGCAUUACCAGUUUGUGAUUUCAGAUUGUUGAGUUAAAGAUGCUAAAGAUAAAGAAAAUAAAUUCCUUUCUUCGCAUCCUUA
Molecule: non-coding RNA, 4176 nt
Organism: Rattus norvegicus (Norway rat)
Lineage: Eukaryota; Metazoa; Chordata; Mammalia; Rodentia; Muridae
Source: RefSeq, a predicted model, not a curated record